Long non-coding RNA from Mus musculus (house mouse), 8027 nucleotides. RefSeq annotates it as predicted gene, 38504. The record is from RefSeq and is a predicted model, not a curated record. NCBI's taxonomy places the organism in Eukaryota, Metazoa, Chordata, Mammalia, Rodentia, Muridae. The transcript has 2 exons.
UUUUUUUUUUUUUUUUUUUUUUUUUUUUUUUCUGUUAAACUUGUGCCUCUCUAAUUUUCUCCUCCCGGACCUCUGCAGAAAGCAGAUCCGAGUUUGCUUGAUAGUUCAAACAAUUAAACUUUGGGAAACUUACUGAAACUGGUGUUAACAUAGAAUUUUACUCUGCUUUUUUUCAUACCCCUCCCCCAUCGUGUAUCUUUGAUUUAUCAAAUGUCGAAGAGAAAUUAGUGUUUUCCUUUGUGUGGACCCCAAUUUACAGGCACUCAUGCCUGGAAUUGGAUAACGAUAGAGACUUCUGGUGCGUCAGUGAGCAGAGAGGAUUUAACCGCAAGGAUACCAGUGAAGCUUCUUACGCACUAAAGCACUUCAGAAUGAAAUGGUUACUGCACUGCAAGACGGACUUCCUCUUACUGUUCCUCUUUUCUCAAACAGAUCUGUAUCAAGACGACUGAUUACAUACUCACUCAUAAGCAGGAAGAGCACUGCUUAAUCUCCGGUUACAUGAUGGCACGCUUACGUUGGAAGCAAUCUGUAAAUGGGGUUAGGCUACUCUGCAGUCCUUAAGGUUUCUGCUUUGUGUUUGACAAAGUGGUUUAUUUUUAGAAUGAAAAAUAAUCCUUUAAGUCUCUUCCUGGUCUGAGCUCACAGUGACUGCUCAGAUUUCGCUCAUAGUGGAGAUUACGAGGUCAGCUGUAGUAAAAUGGGCUCCUGACAUGUGAGCAAGAAAAUCCAGAACAGUCAAGUGGAAAUAUUGGAUUGUAGAAUAUUUUUUUAAACGAAAGGGACCAAUCCCUUUUGUAAUUGAUCAUCAGUUUUGUAGUUUGUGUAUGUCUGCCAGUCAAAAUUAUGAGAUAAUCUUUUCCAAAACAAGAUGUUCUAGUUUUAAUAACAAUAUUUUCUUGUGUAUAUAUGCUACAUUUAUUUAUUUAUUUAUUUAUUUAUUUAUUUAUUUAUUUAUUUAUUUAUCUCUGUAGCUUAACUCAUAUGUUAUAAACACCAAAUUCUUGGAAUGUUUUAUGGCAGCUCACUAUUUACAUGCUUUAAUAUUUAUUUUCCAAAUUCUUGUUUAACAUUGAUGCUACUAUUACCUCCAUGAAUUAGCACAGUACAGAUGACACAACAAGACAAAACAGCAGUAACAAAAACACCAAAAUGGGUUCAUAAUAGUCUUUUAAUUAGAUAGAGAUAUUAUCAUAAAUGAACCCACAUCACUGUUUUUAGGCAGUAAGUGGAUAUUUGGCUUUGUUAUUACUAAUUUAAAUUUAUAUAUUUUUAUUUUAUGUGCCUUUUUAUUUUUCCUCCAUGUAUAUAUGUGAACUAUGUUUGUAUUUGGUGUCUAGAGUGGCCAGAAGAUGUGUCAGAUCCCCUAGGACUAAGUUACAGAAGAUUAUGAGCCAUUUCAUGGGUCCUAGGAUCUGACCCUGGAUCCUCUGCAAGGGUUCUUACCGACCAAGAUGUCUAUCUCUCCAUCCCUAUAGGUGCAUAUUUUAUGUGACAGUGUCUUCAUAUACAUAGAUACACACACACAUACAUACAUACAUAGAUAUGUACAUUCAUAUAUAGAGAAAUAUAUAUGCAUUAUGUUAAAACAGAUGCAGAAAAUUUAAAAGCUUGUGUUACUUGUUUUUCUUUAUAUCCAUUUCUAUGUUUUGGAAUGAACCUUCUAUGAAAGUAUGGCAGAUAGAGCAUUGAUAAAAAUAUGCUAUCAAAUCACAGACUGAAUGCAAAUUGCCUUUUAUGUUUGUUAUAUGUCGUCAAUUAAAAGAAAUGUGAGCACUAAAUAGCAGAUUACUUUACUACAUACAGUGUCCUGAUGUUCUUUGUAUCUGAAAUUUUUUCUACAAAGCUAUGUUUUUACAGUCAGAGUUUUAUUUCUAUUUUUUACCUCUUUUCAUAGGAAGGCUGCCAUCAUGACAGCAUAAGCAUCUUUAUAGACAAGUUAACAAGAGUCAUUUACUCAGAGAGAUGUGAAGCAGGGUAAAUAAGAUUAGCAGAUGCAUUUUGCACAUUGCACUGCAGUGGGUACCAGUUCUGAAUCUAACUCAACCAUUUGGUGCUGCUGGAUCACGUGAUAAAUGAAUAAUCAAUCAGAUCCAAAGAUAACUUCCACAGUGACUAAGUUAUAAUGCCAUGUAUAACAUGAAGACAGAAGAGCAAAUAAUGUAUAAGGACAUGAGGAAGGAGUGAAUGCAGGCUACAGACAGAAAUUUUGAAAGAGGACAUCAAUCUAUUUUUUAUAUUUCUAAUUCUGUCACAGAUAUUUUGGUAUGGUAGUGGGUAAGUGAGUAAAAUACACUUGAAACUGUAAGUACACAAUUUCAGUGCAAAGCUUCACAGCUUCCAUUUUUAUGGCAAUUAUAAUUAUGUAUUCAAUUAUUAAAUUUUAUAGAAGUUGAAUCUGAAAUUUUGAAUAUUUAAUGUUUUUAUUUACCUACAAUUUUCUUAUAUUUUAUUUUACAUUUUUCAAAAAAUAUAGAGCAUUAUGGACCCUACAGUCCUAACUACCAACUGAUACUGUGUGGCAGUAAGUCAUGAACUGUGUGUGUGAAGGUGUCUUCUAUAUUUUAUUAUGUUUAAAAAUACAUAUAUCUUACCAGCUAACUACCGGCUAACAGCUAAUUAUUUAUAAGAUGAAUUCAUACUUGGGAAAACUAUUAGAAAUAUUAAGUCAUUCUCCAUUUUAAAAAUAACUUAAAAUUUUUAAUAAAGUAAAUUUUAAGAAGAAACCUUGGAUAAAGCUGUUUCCACGUGCACAAAUGAACAAUUAUGUUCUUUAGUCUGAAAGAGUUAAUGGUGUGGUUUUUAGUGAACAUUGCAAGGAAUGGUACUGGGUAUGGCAGGGAGAAAAGAAACACUUAGGGAGUGGCUGGAAAUACAGAUGUUUCACCAAAUCUUUCCAUUCAGUUUUAUUCUAGCAUUACUUUCUUGGGAUUGUGUUUUAAAAUUCUGCCACUCCUCUGCAUGAUUCCAGUGAUAUUGAACACAAUGUGUAGGGAUACAAUUUAGGUAGCAAUUUCAAUUGCAUAGCAUAGUACAGAGUGAUUUUAAAAGACAACAUGGUUUUAUUUGUGUCAAUUUAAUCAACGUAUUUAAUAUGCCACAAAUGUGUGUGUAACAUACGUAUACCUAUACUACCCUCAUUUAAUUUAUUUCAGUAUAGCCUAUUGAAAAAGUAAACGUCAUGAUCAAACAUUGCAGCGCAUGACUAUAGUCCAUACAUUGAGGAGGAAGCAGCUGGACCACAAAGGCAAGGGCAGUCUGGGUUACACAGUAUGAAGCCCAGGAAACCAGAGCUGGGGAGGUAGUUCAGUGGUUAAGAGCACUGGAUGCUCCCCAGAAGACCCAAAAACUGACUUCCCAUAGGCUCACAGUGGCUUAGAUCAUCUGUAACUUCAGUUUCAGUUGUCCAACACCCUCUUCUGGCUUCUGUGGACAACACCUGGGCACAAUUCAUUUUAUUUAUUUAUUAACACCAACAACAAAACAACUAAAGGCUUAGGAAAUUUAGCAGUAUCCCAAAGCCCUGAGUUCUUUUCCCAGCAUUAUAAGAACAAAGCCAAACAUGCACAAUUAGCCAUACUAACCACACAGGGUUUUUUUUUUUUUUUUCUUGUUUAAUUGAGUAAUUAGUUACUCCGAAUAUUUUUAUUUAUUUAUUUAUUUUUGGUUUUUUGAGGCAGGGUUUCUCUGCGAAGCUCUGGCUGUCCUGGAACUCAUUUGUAGACCAGGUUGGCCUCGAACUCAGAAAUCCGCCUGCCUCUCCCGCCCAAGUGCUAGGAUUAAAGGCGUCCGCCGCCACGCCUGGCUUACUCCAAAUAUUUUUAAGAAUUUUAAAACUAAAUGAAAUUAAACUCUAUUUAUAACUCAUGAAAGUCAUACUAUCUAGUAUAUAGAGUAUCUUCAUAUUUCUUUCUCUAUGUGACUGUACAGUAUUUGAAUUUAAAUGGACCUCUGCCUUAGAAGAUAUGGAAGAAUAUUCUUAAUCUAAUUUUUUAAAAAAAGAGAGAGCACAGGAGGUUCUAAAGCUCCAAUGCCCUGGAUUUCACAGACUUGGAAGAGUCUGAACUUGAAUCUACUGUGCUGACUCUAGCUGCUCACAGCUGCCACACAAGAAUGCUAGAGGUAGUCAUAAGUUCUGUUUGGUCCUCAGUUUUUACAAUGAGGGCAUGGCAAGAGGUUGACCGAUGUUCAUUUUCCAAAAUUAAUCCUAAGUACUUGCAGUAGUUCUUUAUAUCCUAUUGUCACAAUGCCCUCUUUCCUCUAUUAGAGAGCAUCAAUGAAUCUGAAGUCCUCCUGCAAUUCCCAACAUCAAUGGCUGCCACCACUAUGUUUGAAUUGACAUCUAGCAACAUCUAGUCAGUAGAAUUGCUGCUGUUAAAUGAAACCACUAAUUUCACUAAUUUACAGGCAGAUUAAAUGUUUCAGCUCUCUCUCUCUCUCUCUCUCUCUCUCUCUCUCUCUCUCUCACACACACACACACACACAGACACACACACAGACACACACACACAGACACACACACACACACACACACACACACACACACACACACACAGUUUUUGCCUUUUAUUUUCCAGUGUCUGUGCUUCCACUGACCCCACUUGUGAUCAGUACAAUAAUUUUCACUCAAUCAGACUUUGUUCCCUACCUGGUUUUUGUACUUAGUCAUCUCAAGGAUAAACACAUUGUUUCAGGAUUUCUCCAUUGAUUGAGUUGACCAGAUGACUUCACCAUUUGUGCAUCACAUAACUAUAAAUAAAAUUAUUUUCAAAGUUCUGUUCCUAUCUGUAGCUAAUUAGUGUUUAGGUAUUUACAAGAGUCUGUAAGAUCCACAUUCUGCAAAUCAGAAUAUGGUUGAGGUUGAAUUGGGCUGCAGAGAGAAGUAAAACAGAAAAGUAAGUGAUUAACUAGGAAUAUAGAGGCAUUGUAGGAAAUACAACAUGAACAUAAUUUUACCAAUGACAAAUUUUGGAAUUUAACCAUGGGUUACUACAAGAAAGAUAGUAGACAAAAUGGGGGGAAAGGAGUCAAGACAGGAAAUGGUCAACUAUCAGAAAAGUCACCAAUGAAGGAAUGAAAACCAAAAUAAAGGUGUGAUGAGAGAUGGUGGAAAUAUUGAAUGGUGAGGGAAAAGAGAGCAUGUGGGGAUGUGUUAGACAUCAGGAAGGCACAAUCUAGACACACUGGGAGAAAAGGUGAACGAUUUUAAGGUUCAACUCAUUGGUUUUUUGUUUUGUUUUGUUUUGUUUUGUUUUGUUUUGUUUUGUUUUUGCAUAGAAGGAAGCAGAAUAUACUGGAAAUGACAAUGACAAACAGGAAAAUAAUACUUCAAAUAUAAAAUUUAUAUGAGAAGAAGCAUUAUACAGGGUAGAAGGGUAAAUAGUGACUUGGAAGAGACUUGAUGUAUUAGCCCGAUCUAGCUAUUUCUCUUUCCCACAAUUCUUAGUCUACAGAUUUGCCAUGUUAAAUUUAAAACAGUGGCUGUAUCAUGUAGAGAGGUUCUAUGUGUUUAUAUAAAACAGCUUUUCCAAACCUUAUAGGAAAUCUAAAGGACUAUUUACGUGGCAAGAAUAAGACUGUACACUUAGAGCAGGGUAGUUUAAUAGCAUCAAAUAUAGGGCAGAUAGAUUUAUAUCAUUUCACUGUAAUAUAGUUAAAUAAGUGCUUCAAAUUCACAGCAGUACCUCUUCUAAAUUUAGUGCUCUGCUGGGGGCAGAAGGAGAGUUCUGCAGUUGUUCCCUGACCCACUUUUAAGCUGCUGAGGUGGGUCUCUAUGUCUUUUGAGGUCAGCACUUAGUAGUUACAGAGAAAGCUUUAUCUCAUUGGUGGUCUGCGGUUUUGGUUUAGAUCAUUUGUUUAAAUUGCUCAUACAGGAAACUAUUAACAUAUCUUCCACCCUUUUGAAGAAUUUGUUGCAUGUUGUACAGAAAGAUUUCUUUAUCCUCAAAAUUACAUGUCUCAAAUAUUUGUAAAGCACAGUGUUUCUUCUUUAGUCUCUGGCAUGCUAGAGUUGGAUAUACUUCCUUCCUUUCCCUUCCCUUCCCUUCCCUUCCCUUCCCUUCCCUUCCCUUCCCUUCCCUUCCCUUCCCUUCCCUUCCCUUCUCUUUCUUUCCCUUCCCUUCCCUUGAUCCUCAUAAGCCAUUGCUCACUUCAUCUUACUUGUUGCACUGGGACCCAUCUCAUUAGCCUACAUAUUUAUACAAAAGCUUCUGAUUUUCAAUAAAAAAAAAUACCAGUGAUAUGUUUACUUAAAGUCUGGAACAUACUAUUAUUAACUUCUAAUAAUUUGAAACUGACAGUAAAUUUUUAAUAUGCUACUUGUUUAUUUGAUUUUUCUAGGAGGUGACCUCUUUCUAUAUAAUGCUGUAUCUUAUACAUUUGAUUUCAUUGUAAUUUUACUUAACAGUUUCAAUUUUGUGCUUGCUGUAUUUGUUAAAUUUUUAUUUCUCCUGACAUGAAUAUUUGAAUACUGAGCUUCAUUUCCAAAAGAUGUUACCAGGAUAUUUGUUGCAUUUUUAUCAUGGUUAUCUAUGUACAUGCAUGCGUAUACAUGUGUACAGAUUCUUAAGGUGAAUAUUAAAUUUCACAUUUCUUCUUUUGAGAUCUUAAAACCAUCACUCACAUCUAUUUGUAUAUAAUUUUAUCUACUUCUAUAUCUAUUUCUGGUUGUCUCCCAUGUUCUGCUAUAUUUAUUUUCGAGAACAUUAUUCAGUUGAAACUGCAUAGUCACAGAGAGAAUUGCUAAUAAAUUGUCUUCUCUGAAGAAUCUGUGCUCUAACCAAGACAUGCAUACAUACCUACCUACACACACACACACACACACACACACACACACACACACACAAUAUUUCCAAAUAGUCUAGAUCAUAAAAUUUUACCUAAUCACUUUUAAAUUCACUUAAUAUAUUUUGUCCUGUGUUCUGAAGCUUGAAGAAGACAAAAUAAAACACUUUUAUAUUACAUAAAGUAUAUAAAUCCCCAAUACCUGUGUAUUAGCAGGAAACAGUUAAUAUUUGCUCAAUUUAUUCAUACAUGGCAUAGUUUUUCUAUACGUUUCUAAUUUAUGAACAUGUUUUACAAAAGAGAUUUACGUUCUAUCUUUACCUAACUGCACAAAAAUAAUUGUGAUUGUAUGUGAAGAAAUAGAGAACUUCAAAUGUAAUUAUACAGAGCAGAGUUGAUAAAAGUAUACAACAAAAUCAAAAUACCUAGGGGAAUUUUUAAUUGUUGGGUAGAGGCUACAGUUAGAUUUUUCAUCUAUUUCCAGUGCCAUGACAACCAGUGCCUUAAAAUGCAUGAGCAAUAACUUUCCUGUGUCCACCAUGUCUCUUCCACCCCUGCCCAUGCCCUUGCACCUGCUGAACCCAAAAGUUCCUGGCUGAGAACAACAGAUAGCACCUGGAAGCUGUGUCUGCCCAGCUUGGAAACAACGCUGUUUAGAGUUAGUUGUGUGUGUAAUGGCAAUCUGGAUGUCACUGCAAGUGCUGUCUACUACCUUAGGCAACAACACUCCUACUGUUUUUAAAUGUUCCUGUGGUUCUGAAACGAUAUAUGUACUGUGACCUCAAUAAUUGUGUCAUUUACACACUAAGCUUAAAAUUGUAAAAGGAAAUAUAUUUCUAGAGAGGUCUGCAAAGAGUAAAAAUAUAGCAUUUGUUUUUUCAAAUGGUAAGACACCUUAGAAAGUUUUUUUCAUAUCUUUUAAAUUUAGAGAAUAAAACUAAUCUCUUACUCUUAUUUUCUUAUUUUAAAGCUUUAUUACUUUUGACUGCACAGCAAUUAUAUGGUUGUUACAAUAAAACUAUUUUAUUAUGGCAUUUGUUGGCAUUCUGCAGAGACUUUAAAUAUUUGAAAAUAAUAUAUUUGCCAUGCAGAUUAUUGUUUCUCUUUUAUUUUGAUAAAUUAUAUAUACCAUAGAAUUUUCUGUUAAUGUAUAUUAGGCAUAGUAGCAAUUCCAUCUUCAUUACUAACUUCAACUUUUAAAGAUAAUUUAUAUACAAAUAAAGUAAUGCAUUUUCUUUUUAAAA